UAGAUGUUAAAAGCAAGAGACAUGGGAGAGCAUCAUUCCUUUGAGAUUUUAUAACUCAAACCAACUUUGGAGUUGUCUGAUUUGGAGAGUCAUUAUUCUUGGUCUUCGCUCUUAGAGGCCACUGAUGAAGAACAGGCAGUGACUGGGAUGAAUCCUGGUCAGAGAGGAGAAUCUUCUUUCCCCUAAACAGCAGUGGUUUUAAAGAAGGACGCUGCCCUGGAUGAUGUAGAUGUCACAUGCUGUGCAGAUGGGGUUUCUUCAUGAUUACAUCAGUUAUGCUAAAGAGAUCAUGAAAAUUGACUGUGAUGCAUGAUCUGUAUUCAUGGACUAUGAAACAAACUGUAAGUGUAUAAUUUGUUUAAAAAAAAAAGUUAAAUGCUUUUUCUGUGUUGUUUAGUAGAAGAGUUUACACUCUGUCAUUCAUACACCUGCUCACAUUCUUUCACACACAUGCGUCUGUUAAAUGUUAUAAUAUCAAAGUUAAUGUUGUGAUUUGUGUACUGUCAUGCCAGAAUAGUUGGAAAAAAAACCUAACUAAUUGUAAAUUUAUUGUAUGUGUUUUCGUAUAUUUUUAUACAAUAUAUACAAUUGAACAAAGUCCAAUU
Long non-coding RNA from Carassius gibelio (silver crucian carp), 605 nucleotides. RefSeq lists it as uncharacterized. Lineage: Eukaryota; Metazoa; Chordata; Actinopteri; Cypriniformes; Cyprinidae. The record is from RefSeq and is a predicted model, not a curated record. The transcript is spliced from 3 exons.